Molecule: transfer RNA, 73 nt
Filed under: Bos taurus (domestic cattle)
Lineage: Eukaryota; Metazoa; Chordata; Mammalia; Artiodactyla; Bovidae
Also listed under: 1 other name
Rfam family: tRNA
About the family: Transfer RNA (tRNA) molecules are approximately 80 nucleotides in length. Their secondary structure includes four short double-helical elements and three loops (D, anti-codon, and T loops). Further hydrogen bonds mediate the characteristic L-shaped molecular structure. tRNAs have two regions of fundamental functional importance: the anti-codon, which is responsible for specific mRNA codon recognition, and the 3' end, to which the tRNAs corresponding amino acid is attached (by aminoacyl-tRNA synthetases). tRNAs cope with the degeneracy of the genetic code in two manners: having more than one tRNA (with a specific anti-codon) for a particular amino acid; and 'wobble' base-pairing, i.e. permitting non-standard base-pairing at the 3rd anti-codon position.
Source: Rfam by way of RNAcentral
UCCCUGGCAGUCCACUGGUUAGGACUCCUUGCUCUCACUGCUGAGGGCCCAGGUUCAAUCCCUGGUCAGGGAA